CAUAGUGUAGAAUUUAUAGUGUAAUAAUAGUAGUUUAGAACUCUCGGUGUAAUAAUAGCGUAGAAUUCUUAUUCUAAUAGUAGUAGUGUAGAAUUUGUAGUGUAUAUUUUUGUGUAGUUGUAGUGUAGAAUUUUUUGUAGUUGUAGUGUAAGAUUUGUGUGUAGUUAUAGUGUACAAUUUUUAGUGUAAGAGUAAUGUUAAUUUUGUGUGUAAGAGUAGUGUAAAAUUUUGGUGUAUGAUUAUAGUAUAUGAUUUUAGCUAGUGUACUUUUAUUAUAAUUUUAUGUAGUGUACUUGUAGUGAAACAAUUUAGUGUAGUUGUAGAAUAUGAUUUUUAGUGUAGCUAUAGUGUAUGUUUUAUUACAUUGUAGAUUGUAGGUUUUGCAUGUACUCAUUAAUAUGCUUAUUUUUUUUACUAACUUGUUAGUUAUAUUUGCACCGUCACAGAUGGCUCCGAAGUUUCAUGGUGUGCAAUAGAAGGGGAAUAAUUACUAUGCCAUCAUUAGGAAGGAAAAUGUCGUCCACGAGCUUGGUCAUUGGGACACCCUCCAGUUAGCGGCGCACGUCUAUGAUGCCAUGGCGGUAGAGUUCUAUGAGGACGGGGCGGUUCUGAACUUCCUUGAGUGUCGCGAGUACGUGAAGUUCCUCGCGCAGGAGGACAUGAGGAUAUGCACUAGGGCUGAGGACAAAACAUGUUGAAAUGCAGUUCUUCGAUCCACGUGAGCGAGCUUGCAAGAGAUGACAAACUCAUGGAGACCAACAAGAUUGUGCUACUUCAAUAUGCAGGCAGGAAGAGCAUGGACGAGGAUCCGGUAGACUGGGAUGCCUUGGAGCGUGAGGAGGGUCAACGGGAGUGUCGUCGUAGGUCCACUAGGCACCACCAUGAGUGAAUGGAUGCCCCACGUGAGACCGGUGGUUCAGUGAGAUGCCAAAGGGAUAAAAAAUUCUUCAUAGAUCUGCCGAGUGACUUCCUCACUAGGACGGUCAUCCCUUGUGGGGCAAUGAAUGACUUAGAGAAGUUUUGAGUUCCAGUAGAUGCCACCAUCACAUUCCAGUGCACCCUCAUGAAGAUGCUGAUGACCCAAUAAUUCAAUUGUCUUGUCACCAACGAGGCAAACCACACCUAUUUCGGUUGUCCUGGUUGGAAAGCCCUUGCAACUGCUUAUAAGAUGGAAGCUGGGGAGAGAGCCACAUUCUCAAUCGACUACGAUCGUGAUGAGAUCAUGGUCUACUACAGGCCUGCUGGCAGCGAUAAUGGUUCAGUUACUCCGGACUAUGACCCUGACUCCGCCCGUCGAAAAGUCUAGUUAGCUAGUUGGCAUGCAUGGAAGAUCUCAUGUUGUUAUCA
This is a long non-coding RNA of Triticum dicoccoides, 1347 nucleotides long. RefSeq lists it as uncharacterized. Lineage: Eukaryota; Viridiplantae; Streptophyta; Magnoliopsida; Poales; Poaceae. The record is from RefSeq and is a predicted model, not a curated record. The transcript is spliced from 3 exons.